Molecule: ribosomal RNA, 450 nt
Filed under: uncultured Streptococcus sp.
Lineage: Bacteria; Bacillati; Bacillota; Bacilli; Lactobacillales; Streptococcaceae
Description: bacterial SSU rRNA
Rfam family: Bacterial small subunit ribosomal RNA
Source: RNAcentral
CGGUGGAGCAUGUUGGUUUAAUUCGAAGCAACGCGAAGAACCUUACCAGGUCUUGACAUCCCGAUGCUAUUCUAGAGAUAGAAAGUUACUUCGGUACAUCGGUGACAGGUGGUGCAUGGUUGUCGUCAGCUCGUGUCGUGAGAUGUUGGGUUAAGUCCCGCAACGAGCGCAACCCCUAUUGUUAGUUGCCAUCAUUCAGUUGGGCACUCUAGCGAGACUGCCGGUAAUAAACCGGAGGAAGGUGGGAUGACGUCAAAUCAUCAUGCCCCUUAUGACCUGGGCUACACACGUGCUACAAUGGUUGGUACAACGAGUUGCGAGUCGGUGACGGCGAGCUAAUCUCUUAAAGCCAAUCUCAGUUCGGAUUGUAGGCUGCAACUCGCCUACAUGAAGUCGGAAUCGCUAGUAAUCGCGGAUCAGCACGCCGCGGUGAAUACGUUCCCGGGCCUU